Molecule: long non-coding RNA, 8180 nt
Filed under: Setaria viridis
Lineage: Eukaryota; Viridiplantae; Streptophyta; Magnoliopsida; Poales; Poaceae
Description: long non-coding RNA (SVIR_LNC008439)
Source: RNAcentral
UUUUUUUUUUUGGUAUUUUAGGGCAGGGAAAUGAAGCUGAAUUGGAAUCGUGCCCGUGACAGGGGUGGGUCGCCUGCUCCGUCCUUGUCUUCCGGUGCGUGCGUGUCCUCCUAUCUCUCUCUCUCUCUCUUUUGUUUUGUUUUCAGAAUCUCUGCCGUGUCUAAAUUAUCGCUACCAGUGUGGUACGCAUGUGAAUUGUUUCGCUUUCCUUCUUAACAAAUCGCGUUGGGUGACGUCACCCCAGCGGCGAAGCUGGCAUGUGAUGCUUGCUUGCUGAAAAUAAUCCGGCACGGAGAUUUCGGCGUCGAUCAGGCCGUUUCAGGUCCUCGAGUGUUAGGAUCUUGUAUCGCUCAUGCAGUUGGGGCUUGGCUGGGCUGGCGUAUAGUCCACUGUUGUAUGCACAGCGCAUGAUUGAAUGCGUUCGCUCUUCGCUGUCCAUCAUACAGCCAUCGAGAACAGUAGGAAAGUACGUGUGCGUAUUUAUAGCUAUAGCCUUUGGAGCACGGACGUACAACUCACGGUCACGAGCCUGCUCAUGAGUAACCUGACUUCCCAAGAAAGAAAGGAAGGAGGAGACAUGCACACCCAUGCGUUGCGAUCAUGGAUUCAUGGUUGCCCCCCUCGCCAUCCGCUCAGAAAUGUGUGUUUCUCUUCACGGCUUCGAAAGUUCGUGUUUCUCUCUCAUCAUCCAUGCAUGCGCACGCGCAGAUCUCAUGCCGGGCCAUGAUCACUGUCGCGAGAAAGAUGUCCAGUUCAUCCGUUCAUGCCCCCAUCGAGUUUGACGGCGUGGUGGGUAGGCGGUAGGACAGACCGACAAAGCCACCAGAGAUGAACAGAAACUAAAAUUUUUACUGGGGUGGUGAAGUGGUAUAGCCCAAACUGAGACGGUGCCCCCGGCCGUCAGGCGACCUGGCACGGCAGGCGAACCCGAACGUCCGCUCCGUGCGCCGAGGACGCUCGCCGCGCGCGGCAACCUCCUGGGGCUACGGCCCCCUCGCCGUUCGCGUGUCGAGCCACCGGGCGCUCGCUCAACUGCCAACCGCGCGCGGCGCGGCGCGUGCGCCACGCCCUGGGAUGAAGAUGCCGUGCCGGUGCCGGUGCCGGUGCCGCGCCCGCUCCCCGUCCAAGAUUUUCCGUUGCCUCGCCCGAGGAUAUUGCGGGGGGUCACUGGGCACGGCACGGUACGGGCACUGGCGCGGUGCGCUUUGAGCAGAGACGCAGAGUGGCCGGCCGGGAAGCAAGGCAUCCAGGCGCCCGCGCCGCUGGAGUCCUGGACUCGCGUCGCGCGGCAGCCCACGGCCCCUGCCCGGUGGCGCCGCGCCGCAGUAACUUUGUCUUUACAUUGAUGGAUGCAGGUGAUGGGCUACAAGACUGUAAAAAUUCAUGUACAGUAGCAUUGUACCGCUUCUGCACUGGUAGCUUUCUUAAUCACGUGCCUAGGAUCCGACAUUAAUCCCCCGAACAUGUGCGACAUGUUAAAGACCGCGACGCUGCCCUGCCCCCCAUGUGCGCUGCUUCCACACAUCUCUACAGUUCCGCAGCAGCACACGGAGAUCCAAAUUCACUACGCUCCCCGGACGGACCCACCCGUUCGUGAAUCCACCCGGGUACGGUAAAAAUCAGUGCCGCUACACGACCAUCUACGGCAUACGCGUUCGUACAUGUACUAGCUGGGGUAGUAUCCGUAUCGCCAUCGUGAGUAGCGCACAACCGACGGGCGUGAGGUGACGUGGCUAGCUACCUCGACGACAUGCUGGCGUUGCUCGACGUGAAGCUGCUGACGCCGCAGCUGGAGCCGGACGCGCCCAGCGCCGCCGGGUCCUUGGGGCCCUUCUGGUACUGCGCCUCCCGGUGGUCGGCGAAGGACAGGAACGACCGGAUGCUGCUGCGGUGGCCGGAGCGGGAGAUGGCGGUGCCGUCGGCGGCCGAGGCGACGUGGCGGGAGUACUGGCGGACGAGCACGCAGGCGUGGAUGGCCAGCGCGGCGGCGCAGGCCACGCCGCAGAUGAGGAACAGCGCCGAGAAGCUCUGCACCUCCAGCGGGGCCGACUGCAGGUUGGUGGUGGCGGACUCCGACGACGACCCCACCGACAGCCACUUGUCGUGGAUCCUCUGCAGGUCGCCGUUCUCAGACAGCGCCAGGAUCGCCGUCGACAGGUCCACCGCCAGCGGCGAGUCCCGCGGGAACGCCUGCCCAGAGACCCAACAAGACGAGUGCUCAGCCAUGGAUGGUAUCAUCAGAAACGUUUGCAUCAUCAUCAGAAAAAAAAAAAAAAGGUUCAGCGAAUCGCCCGACUCACGAAGCCCCAGCCGCUCUUGGUGAACUCGGCCCCCACGAUCGCGAACUUGUCGUGGUUGGUCAGGAAGAGCUCGACGUACGGGCGCUCGUCGACGAUGGCCACGACGCCGCCCUUGCGAGGGCCGAGCUCCAACGCAGCCUCGUACUCGUCCGGGGAGCCGAGCUUCCUGAGCCUCGACGGGGACACGCCGAGCUCGUGGACGAGGUAGCUCUCGGCGAAGGAGCCCACCUGGAACCCGAUGGGCUCGUCGCUGGCGAUCAAGCUGUCGAUGCCCCUGAUCGGGGACGUGAGCUGCUGCACGGUGAGGAUGGAGGUCAGGUUGGCAGUGUAGCUGGACUGAAUGAUCAGGACGACGAAGAGCCAGAUGAUGAUCACGAAACGCCCCAGCGUGCUCCUGGUGUCCUCUCCUGUAAAAAGAGUAGAUGCAGAGUGACUCUUUUGAGUUUGCUCGGAAAGGUUUUCAUCUCGAUUCGUAUGCAGAAAUGUGAAGAGCUGCAUUUCACUUACUGUGGGCAAAGAACAGAGUUGAGAAACUGAACCUGCAAAAAGAGAAUGUAGCAUGUUAAGAUGCAAACGAAAUUGAUGGUUCCAGAAGAAGCAGAGAAAUGCUUGCAGCAAGCGAAAUUGAUCUGACUAUCCUUCCGACUCGUCUUUUUUUUUAAAAAAAAUGACACUAAACGAUGCCUAGCGUGACGGAAAUUACACAGAUCUUAAGUAGGUGACCUUACCAGAAUACAGUAAUAACCUGUUUCACUGGAGGACCGCGGAAGUCAUCAUUGAUUCUGUGCUCGAGCAACCAAAUCACCGUUCCCACGAUCAGAAAGAACACUCCUGUGACCAACCACAUUCUGAUGGUAAACGGCUGCAGGAAAGCCCAUCCGUUGGAGCCCUGCGGCUUAACAGAGGUAAGUAUGACAAGCCCGGACCCGACAUAUGGUUGGGUGAAAUCAACAAGCCUUGUCCGAUUUGUGACAAUAGCUACAUCACCAACAACAGCAUCAAAUUCCUAGCCAUAAGAAAAAGGAUGACUGUUAUAACAAGACUUAGUGACACAUUAACCAUAAAGUGUUCAUUUUAGAAACAGAACUUACAUUCGUCACAAUUUGAUUGAUAAGCUGUGUAUAGCUUGGAUUCUCAAGGCCAUUGCCAAAAGGUAUAAACCUAUAUGCAACUGGGUAUUGCAGUAGGUUUAUUGCAGCAGCAAACACAUCAAUACAUAACCCGCCCACCAUUCCAGUCUGAUUGUCAUCUGAUACAAAUUGACGGUAACUUACCCUAUUGGGGACUCCAAUUCUCAGCUCGUCUCCAUUGUUAGCGAAUACCCAUCCUCGGGGCCUUUUUAUAGUCUCACCUGGCCAGAUUGCAGUGUGUAGUUUCUGAUUUUCAAUAGUGUCAUUGGGUGGUUUCUUGUAAAGAGUUUCAGGGGACACAAUGGACAGCCCAGAGUAGUUGGACCAAUAACCAAUUGUCCGCAGACCAGACCCUAUUAUGUUUAUAAUGUCAUACGCAGGAUUGAUAAGAUUACCAUCUGAAUCCAGUUUUACAGUGCCAGUUGCGCCCAUGAAAUUUACUUUGCGAAUUCUUUCCAGUAAUAGCAUUCCCCCAUCAAAGACGGUCAAUGCAUCCAAAUUCAAAGCUCCUCCUGAAACUGCAUGCAGUCUGGGGUCUGGAGAGAAGGAAAUGUUUCCACCACCAUUGAAAAAUGCAUCCAACGCAUAAGCAAGCAUCCAGACUGUAUCAUAAGCAUAAAGGCCAUAGGAAUUGAGCAAGAACCUGCUGCCACCACUAUCCUCCUUAACAAGUGUACUCCAUUGAGAAACUAGUGUCUUCUUCCUAUUGGUAUUUCCUGUGUGUUGACGCAAUGUGAGAACACCCUGCAUUGUGCUCAGUAAUCCACUAUCAAGACGCGGGGCAGAAUCGAGGGCUGCACUGAGCCAAUCUGUAGCAAUCCACACAUAUCCACCGGAUGUCAUGGUAAGAUUGUACGCUAAUGAGAACACGUCAAGCCCAGUGUGAUCAUAUGCAUGCAAUACAAAAACCCGGGACUCCAUCAUUGCAGCUUUGACCAGUACAGCAGCUAUUUCACUCUUCUUUGCUCCUGGCCUAAUUGCAGCUUUAUGCAAGAUCUUCAAUCUUCUCUUGGCAAGCUCAUCGCCUAAGGUGGAUAUGCCAUUUCUUCCAUAAUCGUCAUCAAUAUAUACUGCUGUCACCAUCUUCCACCCAUAGUAAUAAACUAAGUCUGCAACUGAAGCCAUUUGAAAUUGAUCACUGUGGAUAGUACGCACAAAGAAAGGAUACUGAAGUGAUGUGAGAGUCGGAUCAGUUGCAGCAAAAGACAUCAAAGGUACUUGGAGUUCAUUUGCAACAUGGGAUAUGACAUGCGCAACGACUGAAGAUUGGGGGCCGAUGAUUGCAACUGUAUCUUUCUCCAUGAAUUGCAAGGCUAGGCAAGACAAAGGGAUAAGGAGUCAGUCGUAAGGCACCAUGUGGAUUGUAUUUUUGUCACAAAAAGUGAGUGUUAUUGGUCCAGUGGUAGACAGACCUUGCUCAAAUAAAAAUGGCAGAGAGACAUGAAGGAGUACCUUGAACAAUGCCAAUGAAGCCACUGGAAUUGGUAUCUUGCAUCUGAACAACCAGCUUUGUGCCCGAGAGAACACGUGAAUCAUUGUUGAUGUCAUUGACUGCAGCAGCAAUGGCAACCUUUGCAACUCUCCCAAUAAUCGAAUCGAAUGUGAAAAGAGCUCCAAUGUUCACAACAUCAGGUCCCACAGAAAUAUUCUGCGCAAGUGUGCAAUAGCACAGACAACUGAAAAUGCCCAAAAUAUGGAGCAUGGACUUCAUGUUUAGUCCAGAUUCCAAAGGAUUAAUGGGGUGUUCUUUAGGAGUCCAUCCUUCAGCUCAACAUCAGAUACGCUGAAGAACCAAAAGAAAAUUUCAGAAUGACGCCUGUUAGGUAGAUACUUUCACUACCCAAUGACUCAAAACUAUCUUCAAGAAAAAUUCAGGCAUUUACAUGAUGAACUGCAGCCACAGGUUACAACUUUGGAAUGGAUAUCAAUUAUGAGGGGAGGAUAUAUCGCCUCGCGCAGCGAUAUGAAUUUGGGGCUCAAGAGCAAAAGAAAUGGGCACUCCCGGUGGGAAAUAAGAAGGGGAAUUUCGUAAAAAUAAACAAAGAAAAACACCAUCAAAACAAAAUUUAAAACAUGCUAUUCCGACCCUAUGGAGCUACAGAAAUGAAGCAACCUCUCACCUUAAGAUUUGCCCAUGAGUAAACAGAAUAACGAGCCAAAUUAGAACAGAAACCUAAGGAUGAGCUGAGAUGGGCUUGACCGCGGAAUUCUUUAUGUGAGCUCGAGGGGCAAGAAGAUCAGCUAUGAGGCAGACAUGGGACUAAAUCUUGUUUUUGGAGAUAACAACUGGUUGAAUCCAAAAGCGUGGAGCAUGCAGGAUUCGCAAAUAGUUGCCCCACCCCUGGAACCUCUCCCCCUUUUGGUUUUCUUUUUGUGAGUUGAGGCAUGGUUCCUCUUACCGCCAGUUGGCUCCGGAGCAGCCAGUAGCUUCCUCUCGGAUGGCACGAGAUAGAUGUGAGGGACCAGUGGCCCGUGUGAACGAGAACCACCCUGAAGGCCCCGGAAUGCUGCACGCCACCGAUAUACAUGUUUAAAUUCGUCAGGCUAUCAUGGCAGUGGGCAGUGGCAGAUUCUUGGAGCCCAUGCACUGAACAUUUUCCCAGCAUCAGUGUCCAGUUUGCACAGAAAAAAGCAAGAUACUUGGGAGUGCCUACUGCCUAGGUAUCACAAUCCCGACCUGACAUGAACAAACAGGUCAGCAAGACGGAUUUUUUUUAUUUCAGAAAUAUUCAGGUCCUCAUGUCGAACAUGUGACUGGGAGUAGGCACGGAGUAGAGAACUUAGAUGCACGCCUUCUUUAGUUACCCAAAAUCCCAACUUUGUCACUAUAUAAAAAAAAGAUUCUCAUCACAUCAAACUUACGGUACAUGCAUGGAGUACUGGAUGUAGACGAAAUAAAAAACUAAUUGCACAGUUUGGUUGUACUUUGCGAGACGAAUCUUUUGAACCUAAUUAGUCAAUAUUUGAAAAAUAUUUUACAAAUACAAACGAAACGCUACAGUAUGCUACAGUGCUGGCGUAAUAAUUUUGGACAAUUAAAAUCGGGCAACUAAACAGGCCCGCAGGCCUGUCGAAAAUCCCGUCGUACAGAAGUAUCUGUGAUUUGAGGUGUGUUACUAUUCAAUUUCAAAGAUACAAGUGAGAUGUUUCCAACGGGGCAUGUGCUAGACUGCUAUUUGUAGUAGCCUAGUACUCCGUACCUGAGGGUAUCGAACAUGAGCGUUUGGGUCAUUGGAUGGAGCAGGUACCUUGGCAACGCCAGCCACAUGCCAUCCCUGGAAAGGCCGAAAGCAGCACCAGCAUCGGUGGAGCCUGGCAGCGCGCUGGUGACAAAAGUAAGGGGGUGUUUGGAACACUCAGAUGUUUUGAUACUAAUUAAGAGUAUUGAAUGUAGUCUAAUUAUAAAACUAAUUGUACAGAUGGAAUCUAAUUUGCGAGACGAAUCUAUUAAGCCUAAUUAGUCCAUGAUUUGAUAAUGUGGUGCUACAGUAACCAUUUGCUAAUGAUGGAUUAAUUAGCCUUAAUAGAUUCGUCUCGCGAAUUAGACUCCAUCUGUGCAAUUAGUUUUGUAAUUAGCUCAUAUUUAGUCCCAAUUAGUAUCCGAACAUCCGAUGUGACCCUGCUAAAGUUAGCACCUCAUAUCCAAACACUCUCUAAUAGACAUUGAAGACGAUGCUGGGCCAGCCAUCACAUCUAUGAAGUUGAAAUCUACAGCAGCGUUCUCUGAUUAAAUUCCCUAGUUUCUUAGGGGGUGUUUGGAUCCCCAAGCUAAAUUUUAGUCCCUGUCACAUCGAAUGUUUAGAUACUAAUUAGAAGUAUUAAACAUAAACUAUUUACAAAACCCAUUGCACAGAUGGAGGCUAAACAGCGAGACAAAUCUAAUUAGUCCAUUGAUUUGACAAUAUAAACCAUUUGCUAAUGAUGAAAUAAUUAGGCUUAAUAGAUUCGUCUUGCCGUUUAGCCUCCAUCUGUGUAAUUAAUUUUAUAAAUAACUCAUAUUUAAUCCUCCUAAUUAACCUUCGAAUAUUCAAUAUAAUACGGACUAAACUUUAGCUCCAAAAUCCAAACACCCCCUUAUCAUCGGGUCAAGAUCACCAAUAACUUCUACGAAAGGAUCAAAACGUACUCCUUUUGUUUUGCAUGCCUUGUCCUAGCAGCACUCAUCGCAACCCCCGGUUUUAAAUACGGACCAAAUGGUUAGCAGAGGUCAAAAACCACGUGAGCAUAUCGGAAAUGACAUUUACUCUAUAAUUGGCAAUCAAGCUUACAUCUUACAUUAGUUGCCAUAAGAAAUAACUUCCCUUUCAGCUCAAGAUGUAUGUUACAACACCCGAAGAUUCCUAGAGAUAACUUAAGGAAAUCAAACUACAAAUAGGAAGCACACAACAAUCCAAUGCUAUCCCCAACAAGCCAACUGCCUAAUAGUUGGAGAUCACUCAGGAUCUCCUUCUCAGGCCUCCACCCGCAACCUUUUGGACGGUGUGCUGUCGCUAGCCCCUACAGUCUCGAUAGUUUCAUUGCCUUCAACCAUAGUGGCUACGGUGCUAUUGGAUGGGUCCCCGAAGGUCCAUCCAGGAAAAUCUGAUCCUUGAAAUAACGAAGUUGGUGUGGUUCUGUAGAAUGCAAGGGGAACCUGUUUUAUCCGUCGCCGUACCUACAAUUCAAAAUUCAAGAUUUGUGAUUUUUCUGGGAAAUUUCUAGUGAUAAUUAACAAUGGACACUCAAACGGCAACAGAUAAUAUGGAAGUUC